CACAGAUCCCUUCAGAGGAGCUUAGGGGUGGGGGCAGGAGAGGACAGAAGGUUACAUCCUUUUAGAGGGUUUUACAGCCCGGAGAGAUGCUCGGAACCCUCGAAGGCAGCCGGCAGAAGCCGACUGCUCCCCACGAAGUUUAUCGAGGUGCUGGCAACUUCGAUGUUUGGCUUCACUUCAGGCUGGAGAAGGAAACAUUUAAUUUCUCAAAAACCCAGUGUGACUCAAGCCUCGGUGCCAAUGUCACAGCAUUAGCUGAGCGAACGGAGCAGUCAAGGCAAAGCCAACUCUUAUCUAUUCAUGAUGGCAAGAGCUGCGAGGACCAACGAGGAUGACGAGGAUGACGACAUAGUGGAAGGUACGACUUUGGAUUUUAUCAUUUGAAGAUACGCAAACCCAGUUCAAAGAGGAAAGUCAACAGAGAAGCUUGGGAUGCUCAUUCCCGUAAGAAACCUCAGCCAGUGAUUUGAAUGGGGAAAAAAAGAAAAAAAAGUAAAACAAGGA
Molecule: long non-coding RNA, 504 nt
Organism: Calidris pugnax (ruff)
Lineage: Eukaryota; Metazoa; Chordata; Aves; Charadriiformes; Scolopacidae
Exons: 3
Source: RefSeq, a predicted model, not a curated record